RNAcentral lists this transfer-messenger RNA (271 nucleotides) under Chloroflexota bacterium. RNAcentral's name for it is "Chloroflexi bacterium (soil metagenome) partial transfer-messenger RNA". It matches the Rfam family "transfer-messenger RNA", at positions 1 to 275 of the family's 374-position model. From Rfam's summary of the family: Bacterial tmRNA, also known as 10Sa RNA or SsrA, is named for its dual tRNA and mRNA-like properties. Its role is to liberate the mRNA from a stalled ribosome. To accomplish this part of the tmRNA is used as a reading frame that ends in a translation stop signal. The record is from RNAcentral. Lineage: Bacteria; Bacillati; Chloroflexota.
GGGGAUGCGUGGUCUCGACAGGGCCGGAUUCCCGAGGAACGCGAGCCGAGGUGCCGUCGGGCCUCGUAAAAAGGCGGCAAAAGAAGUAACUGGCAACCGCCAGCCUGCUCUCGCCCUCGCUGCUUAGGCAGUAAGGUGAGCGUGGAAGCAGCCUCAUCCCCGUGGGCUGUGGAAGCGUCAUUCAGCGGGGAUGCGCUUCGGAGUAGCGUCACGUAGUCCGAAGCAAAGCCCGAAAGGGGACGUGACUGGUCCUCAGCGAACGGUGCCGAUG